This is a regulatory RNA element of Oceanicola granulosus HTCC2516, 81 nucleotides long. It matches the Rfam family "L2-Alphaproteobacteria ribosomal protein leader". The record is from Rfam. Lineage: Bacteria; Pseudomonadati; Pseudomonadota; Alphaproteobacteria; Rhodobacterales; Roseobacteraceae.
GGGGACCUUCGGGGCCCUUCAACUGCCGGGUCGACCAGCGCCACGCGCCGCGAGAUCCGCAAAGCAACGGAAAGACAGUAA